This 270-nucleotide unclassified non-coding RNA is filed under the name Oryza sativa (Asian cultivated rice). RNAcentral's name for it is "partial microRNA MIR438l-1 precursor". The stretch from base 29 to 233 matches the Rfam family "MIR812 microRNA precursor family". The record is from RNAcentral. Lineage: Eukaryota; Viridiplantae; Streptophyta; Magnoliopsida; Poales; Poaceae.
UUAUACUUUACUACUCCCUCCGUUCCAUUAUAAGUGCAGCCAUAAGUUUUCGUGCCCAACAUUUGACUAUCCGUCUUAUUUGAUAAUUUUAUGAAAAAAAUUUAAAAGUUAAGUCAUGCAUAAAGUCCUAUUUAUAUUUUAUCAUCUAAUAACAAUAAAAAUACUAAUUAUAAAAAUAUUUCAAAUAAGAUGAAUGGUCAAAGUUGGAAUUAAAACUUACAACUGUGCUUAUUAUGGGACGGAGGGAGUAGAACCAAGUGUGUAUUCACU